This 301-nucleotide ribosomal RNA is filed under the name uncultured bacterium. Its description in RNAcentral is "bacterial SSU rRNA". It matches the Rfam family "Bacterial small subunit ribosomal RNA", at positions 333 to 632 of the family's 1533-position model. The record is from RNAcentral.
GUUUUCCUACGGGGGGCAGCAGUGAGGAAUAUUGGUCAAUGGGCGGGAGCCUGAACCAGCCAAGUCGCGUGAGGGACGACGGUCCUAUGGAUUGUAACCCUCUUUUGUCGGGGAACAAAGGCGCCCACGGGUGGGCGGAUGAGUGUACCCGACGAAACAGCAUCGGCUAACUCCGUGCCAGCAGCCGCGGUAAUACGGAGGAUGCGAGCGUUAUCCGGAUUUAUUGGGUUUACAGGGUGCGUAGGCGGACAGGCAAGUCAGCGGUAAAACUGCGGUGCUCAACGCCGUACAGCCGUUGAAA